UACGAAGGGGGCUAGCGUUGUUCGGAAUUACUGGGCGUAAAGCGCACGUAGGCGGUUUUCCAAGUUGGAGGUGAAAUCCCUGGGCUUAACCCCGGAACUGCCCGCAAGACUGGGAGACUCGAGUCCGAGAGAGGUGAGUGGAAUUUCCAGUGUAGAGGUGAAAGGCGUAGAUAGUGGGAAGAACACCAGUGGCGAAGGCGGCUCACUGGCUCGGUACUGACGCUGAGGUGCGACAGCGUGGGGAGCAAACAGG
Molecule: ribosomal RNA, 253 nt
Filed under: uncultured bacterium
Lineage: Bacteria
Description: partial 16S ribosomal RNA
Rfam family: Bacterial small subunit ribosomal RNA
Source: RNAcentral